This 359-nucleotide unclassified non-coding RNA is filed under the name Hevea brasiliensis (rubber tree). Lineage: Eukaryota; Viridiplantae; Streptophyta; Magnoliopsida; Malpighiales; Euphorbiaceae. The record is from RNAcentral.
GCGGAAGCUGGCUCCUCCUGCUAAGCAAGAUAAUAAACAUUCUCCCCGUAAUAACUUAUAUGCGCACUCUUCAUCACCUGACAGUACAGGUUUUGGAAGGACAUUGUCAAAAAAAUCCUUGGACAUGGCUAUGAGGCACAUGGAUAUAAGGCAAAGCAUCUCCGGAAAUCUGCGUCCAUCAAUGACUAAUAUUCCAGCAUCCUCCAUGUACAGUGUAAGAUCAGGACCUAACAGAACCAGGACAGUGAGUGUAUCCGACUCCCCACUUGCUACGAGCAGCAAUGCUAGUUCUGAAGUGAGUGUGAAUAACAAUACAACGUGUCUUGAUGGGAGUGAAGUUGAUGAUGCUAUUAGCGGCG